CCCUUAGAUGUUCUGGGCCGCACACGCGCUACACUGAAGGAGGCAGCGUGUACUCCUGGAUCGAAAGAUUUGGGUAACCCGCGAAUCUCCUUCGUGCUAGGGAUUGAGGUUUGCAAUUAUCCUUCAUGAACGAGGAAUUCCCAGUAAGUGCAAGUCAUAAGCUUGCACUGACUACGUCCCUGCCCUUUGUACACACCGCCCGUCGCUACUACCGAUUGAAUGAUUUAGUGAGGACUUCGGACUGGGACCGAUGCGGCUUUCGGGCUGCGUCGGUAUUCUGGAAAGAUGUCCAAACUGUAUCAUUUAGAGGAAGUAAAAGUCGUAACA
This 327-nucleotide ribosomal RNA is filed under the name uncultured eukaryote. RNAcentral describes it as "partial 18S ribosomal RNA". It matches the Rfam family "Eukaryotic small subunit ribosomal RNA", at positions 1470 to 1796 of the family's 1831-position model. The record is from RNAcentral.